GACGAACGCUGGCGGCGUGCUUAACACAUGCAAGUCGAACGGAAAGGCCCUGCUUUUGUGGGGUGCUCGAGUGGCGAACGGGUGAGUAACACGUGAGUAACCUGCCCUUGACUUUGGGAUAACUUCAGGACACUGGGGCUAAUACCGGAUAGGAGCUCCUGCUGCAUGGUGGGGGUUGGACAGUUUCGGCGGUUGGGGAUGGACUCGCGGCUUAUCAGCUUGUUGGUGGGGUAGUGGCUUACCAAGGCUUUGACGGGUAGCCGGCCUGAGAGGGUGACCGGCCACAUUGGGACUGAGAUACGGCCCAGACUCCUACGGGAGGCAGCAGUGGGGAAUAUUGCAUAAUGGGCGGAAGCCUGAUGCAGCAACGCCGCGUGCGGGAUGACGGCCUUCGGGUUGUAAACCGCUUUCGCCUGAGACGAAGCGUGAGUGACGGUAAUGGGUAAAGAAGCACCGGCUAACUACGUG
This 468-nucleotide ribosomal RNA is filed under the name uncultured bacterium. RNAcentral's name for it is "partial 16S ribosomal RNA". It matches the Rfam family "Bacterial small subunit ribosomal RNA", at positions 28 to 507 of the family's 1533-position model. The record is from RNAcentral.